GGUAUGGUGCUUGGGGGUGUCCGCUGGUGCACCGCUUGAAGGCGAGGUCGCGUGCGUGUGUGUGUGCGUGUCUGUGAGAAAGGCGAGGGGCGUGGUAGUAUCAGAAGAGAAGACUCGGCUGAUUUCAAAGGCCGCUCGCGCCACCCGCUCCGUGACGUCACUGGUGACCUCUGACGUCACAAAACCCACCCGUCCACCAUGACGGCCAACAACGGCACACUCUACAACUACGAGUGCUCGGACGGCCUCAUCCUGCCCAUCGUCAACGAGUUCACCUGGGCCAAGGAGGCGCGAGCCACUCUCUACUUCUUCGGCCUGCUCUACUGCUUCCUGGGCAUCUCCAUCAUCGCGGACAUCUUCAUGUGCAGCAUCGAGAAGAUCAUCUCCAAGACGAGGAAGAUCUACAUGGCCUCGGCUACAGAGAAUGAGCCAGAAGUUAUAGAGGUCCGUAUCUGGUCAGACACCGUAGCCAACCUGACGCUGAUGGCGCUGGGAUCCUCCGCUCCGGAGAUCCUCCUCUCCUGUAUCGAGAUCGUCGGCAACAAGUUCGAGGCUGGCGAGCUCGGACCGGGCACCAUCGUCGGCUCAGCGGCGUUCAACUUGCUCUGUAUCGUGGCCAUCUGUAUCAUAUCCGUGCCGAAGGGAGAGGUGCGAACCGUGAAGUACAUGAAGGUGUUCGCCUGUACCACCUUCUUCAGCUUCCUCGCGUACAUCUGGCUGCUGGUGAUCCUGGUGGGCUCCUGGUCGCCCGAUCAGGUGGAGAUCUGGGAGGCCGCCGUCACCUUCGCCUUCUUCCCCCUGAUGGUGCUGCUCUCCUGGGCGGCCGAGAGGAACUUCUUCAGGGAGGCGCCGGCUGAUAAACAGAUCGAGCUCGGCAGGUUCAAACCCGCCGACAAGUUUUCUCGGGACAUCCAGUACUUCAAGGACGGAGAACUCAACAAGGAUGCGCUGGUCAGCUUCGUCAGGGAGGUGAAGAAGAUGAACCCCAAGAUCAGUGACGAGGACGCCGCCGUGCUUGCCGCUCAAAAACUGGUGGACAGUCAGCACCACUCUCGUCUGUGGUACCGCAUUGGAGCCACUCGCAGUAUCGCCGGGGGGCGGAAAACCACGCCCAACAUGAGCAUGAAACUGCAGCAGGUGUACACCACCCUGAACGAACACCCGGACGCGCCCACCCUCGGUGAAGUGAAGGUGGUGGACACCACGGAGAAUGCCGUCAUUGAGUUCCACGCCGCCACAGCGCACGUGAUGGAGAACGUCGGAAAGUUUGACGUCACUGUUGUCCGGUCUGGUCUGACGGAUACAGAGGUCCGCUGUAGGAUCGAGACCAUUGAUGGCACGGCUACGGUAAACGAAGACUACAUCGGCAUCAACGAGAUUCUCACCUUCCAGCCGGGAGAGAUCGAAAAACAGGUGACUGUGGAGAUCAUCAACGACAACCAGUGGGAGCCCGACGAGGAGUUCUUCCUCAAGGUCUCCCUCCUGCCCGAGGACAAGGAGCCGGUCGGAGUGGAGAUCGGACGCAUCUCCAUCAUGGAGAUUACCAUCCUCAACGAUGAUGAGCCUGGCAACGUGCAGUUCUCCAAGCGCGGUUACCUGGUGAACGAAUCCAUCGGAAAGGCCUCCAUCCCGGUCAUCAGAAAGAACGGAGCAGACGGCGAGAUCUCCGUCAAAUGGAAGACGAUCGACCGCUCGGCACUAUCGGGAAAGGACUAUGAGGGCGGAGAGGGCAUGCUCAUCUUCAAACACACGGAGACGGAGCGAAUUCUGGAGAUCCCCAUCACCAACGACUUCUGUCCGGAGAAGGACGAACACUUUGAGAUCGAGCUGUUUGACCCGACGGGCGGAGCACGGAUCGGACGCAUCAACCGCACGGCGGUCACCAUUAUCAGUGACGACAACUUCAACACGGUCAUCUCCCGUCUGAUGAACCUCACAAACGCCAACAUCCACGCCGUGGAGAUCCAGCGCCAGACCUGGGGCGAACAGAUCAAAGAAGCCCUCACCGUCAACGGCGGCGACGUCGAGAACGCAACCAACAUGGACUACGUCAUGCACUUCCUCACGUUCUUCUGGAAGGUGCUGUUCUCGCUGGUGCCUCCGACCGGCAUGCUCGGUGGCUGGCCGUGCUUCUUCGUGUCACUGGGAGUGACCGGAGUGGUGACGGCUAUUGUCGGAGAUCUGGCGUCCAUCUUUGGAUGUCUGGUCGGACUUCGGGAUAGUGUAACAGCCAUCUCGUUCGUGGCUCUGGGCACCUCUCUGCCCGACACAUUCGCCUCCCGCACCGCCGCCAUCAAGGAGACCUACGCCGACAUGGCCAUCGGUAACAUCACCGGCUCCAACAGCGUCAAUGUGUUCCUGGGCCUGGGACUGCCCUGGCUGAUCGCCUCCAUCUAUCACGCUGUGGCGAGCGAGGACGGCACAUUUAAGGUGGAGCGCGGCGCACUGGCGUUCAGUGUGGCCAUGUACACUGGCUGUGCCAUCGUCUGCGUGUCGCUGCUGGUGGCCAGGCGGUACCUGAAGGUGUUUGGAAACGGAGAGCUCGGAGGUCCGACCGUGCCGCGCUACGCCUCCGGUAUCUUCGUGUUUAUGCUCUGGAUUCUGUAUUUGGUGAUGUCGUCUCUUCAGGCGUACGGCCACCUGCCGGGCAUGGGCUAAAGAGGACGGAGAGGGCGUACAGCGCUGGCAGCGUCAUCUAUGAACGGGAGUUAACACCAUGACUUUAUGAGCCGACCGAGAGAUGGGUGUCAAAUCGAGCCUUUUGGUGGUAGGAUGUGUGCUCGCUCGAUGGCUAUAGAUAAGGUGACUAAGUGCAGGGAUGGCGUGCACAAUGUGAAUUGAGCGAAUUUAUUCGCUAACGACACCUAUCGCCGUUAAGGUGCUUCGUAAUUAAACGUUGAGAGACAGUUACACUUACCGAUUAACAUAAAUCGUUGCGAUAAGUCAAAUAUGAGACCCGUGCGGUCUCCGUUUCGCCUCAGCCCUCAGCCUGGCGUGUUCCAUGGACAGCUCUGAUGAUUACGGCCGCCAUUUAAUCGCGCCCCAGAAAAGUCAUUUCUGACACUGAAUAGCUGUUUCAACCUGGAAUUGUUUGCAGCACCUAUUUGGAAACAUUCAGUACUAAUGGCGAAAAAUGGCUCAAUUGUGUUAUUACUGGCACUAAUUAUUCGGAGUGGUAUACUCUAAAACUAGAGUCUGGCACUAAAAUGCUGAAACUAGCACCCAUCUACUAGGAAAGUAGACGGCAGGUCUGCCAAAUCAAGUUUUUUUUUAAUAUUCCAUGAAGACUUAGUCUGCACAGUGCACAUAGUUGCCAGUGCCAUUGCUGAAGUGUGAUAUGCACACAGGAGGCUAACACACGCCGAGACCACCAGACGUGCGUCAGGUGCCUCGCCAGUCGGCGGCGGCGCCGGCGGGAAUGAAGUCACGGGUCUCGGGCCAGGGGGCUCGCGCGACGCCACUGUCGAGGCGCUAUAGCUGCAUU
RNAcentral lists this unclassified non-coding RNA (3484 nucleotides) under Amphibalanus amphitrite. RNAcentral describes it as "sodium/calcium exchanger 2-like, transcript variant X2". The record is from RNAcentral. Lineage: Eukaryota; Metazoa; Arthropoda; Thecostraca; Balanomorpha; Balanidae.